UCUCGCUCUCAUUUUCUCCUGUGUCUCGGGCUGAGUGCAUGCAUGAAAAGAGAAUGGAAGGGCGCACUUUCUUGGAGUGGUGUUGGACACAAUAUUCUCCCAAUUGCAGGAUUACUUUAGUCCGGAGUUAUGACCCAUGCUGACCUCCUCCACUGGGGAUUGACCCAGGAUAAGGUUUCCUUGAUUAUGACGGUGGAGCGCUGUUCCUUCAGAUGCCUACUGAUCUGCCCAGAAUGCAACUUAAUGGAAAUAGUUUAAGGAGAUGAUUGCUGAUUGUAGCUUGUCAGGUUAACAGUAAUGUUGACUCAAAGAUCCAGUGUCUUUCCAAAAGAACAUGGAUCACAUGAGGAAAAUUAACCUACUGCCUUUGAUUGCAGCUGAAAGAUCUGAGGCAAGAACAAUAUGCAUGUAGAUGGUACCAUACUACUUGAUAAUCAACCAAAUUAAGGAGUCAAAUCAUCCCAGCAAACAAAACAGGAAUUUUGAGAUGCUGCAACUAAGAUAUAGUGGUCAUUUACUUUCCUAAUAAAGUUACUGCUCUUUCUUAAA
Jaculus jaculus (lesser Egyptian jerboa) is the source of this 549-nucleotide long non-coding RNA. RefSeq lists it as uncharacterized. The record is from RefSeq and is a predicted model, not a curated record. NCBI's taxonomy places the organism in Eukaryota, Metazoa, Chordata, Mammalia, Rodentia, Dipodidae. The transcript has 11 exons.